GGGGACGUUACGGAUUCGACAGGGGUAGUUUGAGCUUAAGUUGCGAGUCGAGGGGGUCGGCCUCGUUAAAACGCCACAGCCAAUAACUGGCAAACAAAACAACAACUUAGCUUUAGCUGCGUAAUAGCACUUUAGCUGUUCCUCCCUCCAUCGCCCAUGUGGUAGGGUAAGGGACUCACUCUUAGUGGGCUACGCCGGUUGUCCUCCGCCUGAGGACGAUGGAAGAGAAUAAUCAGGCUAGCGGUCCAGGCGCCUGUCGGCUGGCAGACGGAUCCGCGAAACGCGAAUAAACCGACUACACUCGUAGAAGCUUAAGUGCCAAUAUCUUUGGACGUGGGUUCGAUU
Molecule: transfer-messenger RNA, 345 nt
Filed under: uncultured Fictibacillus sp.
Lineage: Bacteria; Bacillati; Bacillota; Bacilli; Caryophanales; Fictibacillaceae
Rfam family: transfer-messenger RNA
About the family: Bacterial tmRNA, also known as 10Sa RNA or SsrA, is named for its dual tRNA and mRNA-like properties. Its role is to liberate the mRNA from a stalled ribosome.
Source: RNAcentral